GAUGAACGCUGGCGGCGUGCUUAACACAUGCAAGUCGAACGGAAAGGCCCCUGCUUGCAGGGGUACUCGAGUGGCGAACGGGUGAGUAACACGUGGGUGAUCUGCCCUGCACUUCGGGAUAAGCCUGGGAAACUGGGUCUAAUACCGGAUAGGACGAUGGUUUGGAUGCCAUUGUGGAAAGGUUUUCGGUGUGGGAUGAGCUCGCGGCCUAUCAGCUUGUUGGUGGGGUAAUGGCCUACCAAGGCGUCGACGGGUAGCCGGCCUGAGAGGGUGUACGGCCACACUGGGACUGAGAUACGGCACAGCCUCCUACGGGAGGCAGCAGUGCGGAAUAUUGCACAAUGGGCGGAAGCCUGAUGCAGCGACGCCGCGUGGGGGAUGACGGCCUUCGGGUUGUAAACUCCUUUCGCUAGGGACGAAGCGAAAGUGACGGUACCUGGAGAAGAAGCACCGGCUAACUACGUG
RNAcentral lists this ribosomal RNA (465 nucleotides) under uncultured bacterium. RNAcentral describes it as "partial 16S ribosomal RNA". It matches the Rfam family "Bacterial small subunit ribosomal RNA", at positions 28 to 507 of the family's 1533-position model. The record is from RNAcentral.